UGUUCUGUGGCGAAGUUGGUUAACGUACCCUCUCUAGCGAAGUGAGGAGACGUGGGUUCAAAUCCCACCAGAACUA
Molecule: non-coding RNA, 76 nt
Organism: Aedes albopictus (Asian tiger mosquito)
Lineage: Eukaryota; Metazoa; Arthropoda; Insecta; Diptera; Culicidae
Source: Rfam